RNAcentral lists this long non-coding RNA (202 nucleotides) under Elaeis guineensis (African oil palm). RNAcentral's name for it is "long non-coding RNA (EGUI_LNC067311)". The record is from RNAcentral. Lineage: Eukaryota; Viridiplantae; Streptophyta; Magnoliopsida; Arecales; Arecaceae.
CCUUGGUAGUAGGUAUAUGCUCAUGUUGGCUUUGCAACUUAUUUGAUAUAGACGCCAGCAUAUAACACUUAACCCGAUUGUCUUCAUCCGUCCACUUCUCAAAAGUAACUCUUUGCUUAGUAGUAGGAUGGUUUAGUAGCACCAUAGGUUUCUGGUCGAGGACAUGACCUAGUUUUUCGAAAGUCAGGAUAAUCUUGAGAUU